This is a long non-coding RNA of Amphiprion ocellaris (clown anemonefish), 598 nucleotides long. RefSeq lists it as uncharacterized. The record is from RefSeq and is a predicted model, not a curated record. Lineage: Eukaryota; Metazoa; Chordata; Actinopteri; Pomacentridae. The transcript has 3 exons.
AGGAGCAGCGGGCCGCAACAACACAGUGUCAGGGUAUCAACUCCACAUCUGAGGCCUGCACUUCAGUCUAGGAAAAAGGCAGAUAAAGAAACCCAACAAGGAGAUUGAGACUACCAUAUCAGGUCGGGCUGUCCGAGGAUCGGCCUGUGGGAUGGAGCUAGCAUGACCCCAGCAACAAAGGCUGUGAUCACAUCAGACCCUAUUGCACCCUCUGCUGGACCUUCAUGAGAAUGACCUUGUUAUCACUACAAAGAUACUCAUGUCUCAGGCUGCACAGGCCAAUCACAGAGUGGUGCAAUAACAAGUAGGUAGAUUGUGAUAAUAUUAAUUACUGUUCAUUAGACGCAGUUUUGCCAAAUUAUACAUUUUUUUCUGCUGUAAUGAUACCAAAGUUCGGUUGUAGUUUGUUCUUUUUUUUUUUUUUUUUAACACAUUAUGAUAGAUGUAGUAAAUUGAAAAAGACAAUUUUUGCAAUCCUGUGAUGCGAACAUGCUCAAAAUAAGCAUGUGGAACAGAUUCUGGUAGAGCAGAAAGGAAUAACACAGAAUCAAAUGGAACACUAGGGAAAACAAUAGCAUAGAACAAAACAGAAUACAGU